GCCCAGGUGAUGGAAUUGGUAGACAUGCUAGAUUUAGGUUCUAGUGUCCUUGUGGCGUGAGAGUUCGAGUCUCUCCCUGGGCACCA
This 86-nucleotide transfer RNA is filed under the name Gammaproteobacteria bacterium TMED134. Its description in RNAcentral is "tRNA-Leu". It matches the Rfam family "tRNA". From Rfam's summary of the family: Transfer RNA (tRNA) molecules are approximately 80 nucleotides in length. Their secondary structure includes four short double-helical elements and three loops (D, anti-codon, and T loops). The record is from RNAcentral. RNAcentral also lists the same sequence under 1 other name. Lineage: Bacteria; Pseudomonadati; Pseudomonadota; Gammaproteobacteria.